GGGGCUGUAGCUCAGCUGGGAGAGCACCUGCUUUG
This 35-nucleotide transfer RNA is filed under the name Ensifer meliloti. Its description in RNAcentral is "Sinorhizobium meliloti partial transfer RNA-Ala (TGC)". Lineage: Bacteria; Pseudomonadati; Pseudomonadota; Alphaproteobacteria; Hyphomicrobiales; Rhizobiaceae. The record is from RNAcentral.